Molecule: ribosomal RNA, 1201 nt
Filed under: metagenome
Description: bacterial SSU rRNA
Rfam family: Bacterial small subunit ribosomal RNA
Source: RNAcentral
UGUAAAGGAGAAGGAUGGGGAUGCGUCUGAUUAGCUUGUUGGCGGGGUAACGGCCCACCAAGGCUACGAUCAGUAGGGGUUCUGAGAGGAAGGUCCCCCACAUUGGAACUGAGACACGGUCCAAACUCCUACGGGAGGCAGCAGUCAGGAAUAUUGGUCAAUGGACGGGAGUCUGAACCAGCCAAGUAGCGUGCAGGAUGACGGCCCUAUGGGUUGUAAACUGCUUUUAUAGGGGGAUAAAGUGUGCCACGUGUGGCAUAUUGCAGGUACCCUAUGAAUAAGGACCGGCUAAUUCCGUGCCAGCAGCCGCGGUAAUACGGAAGGUCCGGGCGUUAUCCGGAUUUAUUGGGUUUAAAGGGAGCGUAGGCCGUCUUAUAAGCGUGUUGUGAAAUGUCGGGGCUCAACCUGGGCAUUGCAGCGCGAACUGUGAGACUUGAGUGCGCAGGAAGUAGGCGGAAUUCGUCGUGUAGCGGUGAAAUGCUUAGAUAUGACGAAGAACUCCGAUUGCGAAGGCAGCCUGCUGUAGCGCAACUGACGCUGAAGCUCGAAAGCGUGGGUAUCGAACAGGAUUAGAUACCCUGGUAGUCCACGCGGUAAACGAUGGAUGCUCGCUGUUUGCGUCUGACGUAAGCGGCCAAGCGAAAGCGUUAAGCAUCCCACCUGGGGAGUACGCCGGCAACGGUGAAACUCAAAGGAAUUGACGGGGGCCCGCACAAGCGGAGGAACAUGUGGUUUAAUUCGAUGAUACGCGAGGAACCUUACCCGGGCUUGAACUGCAGGCGAACGAUUCAGAGAUGAUGAGGCCCUUCGGGGCGCCUGUGGAGGUGCUGCAUGGUUGUCGUCAGCUCGUGCCGUGAGGUGUCGGCUUAAGUGCCAUAACGAGCGCAACCCUUGUUCGUAGUUGCCAUCGGGUUAUGCCGGGCACUCUGCGAAGACUGCCUCCGUAAGGAGUGAGGAAGGUGGGGAUGACGUCAAAUCAGCACGGCCCUUACGUCCGGGGCUACACACGUGUUACAAUGGCAUGUACAGAAAGCUGGGUGUAUGCAAAUUCGCUCGAAUCCCUAAAACAUGUCUCAGUUCGGACUGGGGUCUGCAACCCGACCCCACGAAGCUGGAUUCGCUAGUAAUCGCGCAUCAGCCAUGGCGCGGUGAAUACGUUCCCGGGCCUUGUACACACCGCCCGUCAAGCCAUGAAAGCCGG